This 69-nucleotide transfer RNA is filed under the name Dromaius novaehollandiae (emu). It matches the Rfam family "tRNA". From Rfam's summary of the family: Transfer RNA (tRNA) molecules are approximately 80 nucleotides in length. RNAcentral also lists the same sequence under 4 other names. The record is from Rfam by way of RNAcentral. Lineage: Eukaryota; Metazoa; Chordata; Aves; Casuariiformes; Dromaiidae.
AAGGCUUUAGCUUAAUUAAAGCACCUGAUUUGCAUUUAGGAGAUACAGGUUAAAGUCCUGUUAGCCUUA